UACGUAGGGGGCGAGCGUUGUCCGGAUUUAUUGGGCGUAAAGAGCGUGUAGGCGGCCAGACAGGUCCGUUGUGAAAACUCGAGGCUCAACCUCGAGACGCCGAUGGAAACCGUCUGGCUAGAGUCCGGAAGAGGAGAGUGGAAUUCCUGGUGUAGCGGUGAAAUGCGCAGAUAUCAGGAAGAACACCCGUGGCUAAGGCGGCUCUCUAGUACGGUACUGACGCUGAGACGCGAAAGCGUGGGGAGCGAACAGG
Molecule: ribosomal RNA, 253 nt
Filed under: uncultured bacterium
Lineage: Bacteria
Description: partial 16S ribosomal RNA
Rfam family: Bacterial small subunit ribosomal RNA
Source: RNAcentral